UUUUUUUUUUUUUUUUGCUUGUUAGGGCCACACCUGCAAUAUAUGGAAGUUCCCAGGCUAGGGGUCAAACCAGAGCUGCAGCAGCCAGCCUAUGCAACAGCCACUGCAAUGAGGGAUCUGAGCUGCAUCUGUGACCUACACCAUACUCACAGCAAAUGCUGGAUCCUUACCACACUGAUCGAGGCCAGGGAUCGAACCCACAUCCUCAUGGAUACCAGUUGGGUUUGUUAUUGCUGAGCCACAACGGGAACUCCACUCCUAUUCAACAUUCCUGGGGGCUCUACCAAUGCAUUAACAUAAGAAAAAGAAACAGAUGUGAGAAAAAAACAGUAUGAAAGAAGUAAAACAUACUCAGAGACACAGAAAAUCUUACGGAAUCAAAAAAAAAAAAAGAAAUGAAUAAAAAUUUUUAAGGUCAAAGGAUAAAAGAUCAGUUUGUUAGAGAAUCAAUUUUAUUCCUACAUGGUGGCAACAAACAGAAAAAGAGAUUUCAAAAUCCAUUUAUGGCAGCACAAGAAGAAAAAUGUUCAAGAAUAAAUUUAACAAAAAAGUACAAGACCACUGCAAUGAAAACUACAAAACAUCACAGAGAAAUUAGAAAAGACCAAAAUAAAUAGAUACAGGCUCAUGGACUACAAGACUCAAUCUUGUUAAAAUUUCAAUCCCCUACCCAUUGAUCAAGAGAUUCAACACAACACCAAAUAAAAUUUCAGCCAUCCUUUUAAAGGAUAUUGAGAAAGCGGUCCUAAAAUUUCUAUGGAAAAGCAGAAUAACUAGAAGAACCAAAAUAAUCUUGAAACACAGAACAAAGUUGGAAUCCUUACAUUACCUGACUUCAAAAUUUACUGUAAAGUCAAUCAAUACAGUAGGUAUAGACUAAGGGGAAAAAAAAAAUCCUCAAACAAUCAGAUCAGCGUGAAGUACAAAAGAGAGUCUAGAAAUAGAUCCACUAAUACAUAGCCAAUAGAUUUUUGACAAAGGAGCAAGGAAAUUCAAUAAGGACACUAGUAAUUAGAGAUCCACGUGAAAGAAAAAUAAACUCUACCCUUACCUCACACCAUAUCAAGACAUUAAUUUGUGACAGAAUGUAGACCCAAAUGUAAAAGCUAACACUAUGGACUUUCUAGAAGAAUACGUGGAACAUAUCUUUGUAACCUUAGGAUGGACAAGAUUUCUCAGAACACAAAAAGCAGUAACCAUGAAAGAAAAGAAGAAAAGGUACAUGGGAUAUUAAUGAGAUGAAAAGAUUCUGCUUUGCAAAAGCCACAACUAAGGAAUGAACAGAGAAGACAAAGAUGAGGAGAACAUUCAUAAUACAACAACAAAAACAACAAAAAACCACUUGUAUCCAAAAUACAUAAGGAACUCCUACAACUCAAUAAUAAAAAAGACCAGAACACCAAUUAAAAAUGGCCAAACAUGUGAACGAGCACGGCACAGAAAGAAAAUACAUGAAGGGCUAAUGAGAUCAUAAAAAGAUGCAUGAGUCAUCAGGAAAAUGCAAAACCAAACCACCGAGAGAUACCAUUUCUCACCCACAGGAUGACUGUAAUUAAAAAGACUGAAAAUACCCAGUAUUGGCGAGGAUGUAAGGUAACAUCAACCCUCACACACUUGCAGUGGGAGUUCAAAAUAAUACACCCAUUUCAGACAACUGUUUGGCAGCGUGCUAAAAAGUUCAACGUGCACACCCACAGAGCCAGCAACUCGACACUAGGUGAGCGUUAAAAAUAAACAAAAAUGUGAAGGCACAGAAAAAGGUUUCUACAAGCAUAUUCAUGGCAGCUUUGCUCAUAGUAACCAGGCCAUGGACACACUCAGGGCUCAUCCACGGGACACAGAUGAACAGAAGGGGGUACGUUCUUACAGCCGGACCCUGCUCAACAUUGAAAAAGGAAAGCAGUGACUAACACACAAACGUGACGCUGAGCACGAGAAGCCAGACGGUCAGGCACAGGGAGGCUUUCCAUUCAAAGAGGUAAACUAAGCUCAGGGCGAGCAAGAAGAACCAUGCUGGCCUCUGAGAGUGGGAGCACUUCCUGGAAAUGAGAAUGGCCUGUACUGGGGUCUCGAGAACGAUCUAUCUCCUCCUCGUGGCGCUGACCACAGAGGUGUGCACACACGCACAUGUGCCAAAAUCCUGAAAACUAUGUUACAACACAUGGUGACUUUACAGUAUGAAAACCACAACUCAACAAUCUAUGUAUAAAUAUUUGCUUUCUCUUUUUUUCUCCCUCUGUCACACACACACACACGCCAAGAUGUCCAACUCUGCACAGGUCCAGCUUUACACAGACCUCAGUCUGCAGGCGGGUAAUCCUACCCACAAAAGUGCUGCGAAGUUUUAAGAUGACUUAACCACACGGCUGAUGACUUGCUAUCUGAGGAAAUCCUGCCGGGCAGAAAGGGAACAGGCUCAGGGAGUCAGACGUCCCAGGUUAUUACCGCAGAUUGGCUUCUCAUUAGCAAGGUGAUCUUGGGCAAGUUAAUUAUCAGCCUCAGCAAUUUCUUCACCUGAAGGAGUCGGAGCAGCAACAUGGGCCGUGCAAGACGGUGGGGUGGCUUCAACGCGGUGACGGUGUACGGCACAGAAUGAAGGGCGCCCGUCGCUGUUAUUAUCAUCCGCAGCCCCGCCUGAUUUCUUUUCGUUUUUUUGGUUUUUUUUUUGUAUUUUCUAGGGCCAUACCCCGAGGCAUAUAGAGGUUCCCAGGCUAGGGGUCUAAUCAGAGCUGCAGCCACCGGCCUACGCCAGAGCCAAAGCAACGAGGGAUCCGAGCCUCGUCUGCGAUCUACAGCACAGUUCACGGCAACGCUGGAUCCUUAACCCAAUGAGCGAGGCCAGGGAUGGAACCCGCAACCUCAUGGUUCCUAGUCGGAUUCGUUAAGCACUGCGCCAUGACAGCCUGAUUUCGGAUAACUCCGUGAGCGUGAAGCGGCUCUGGGAAGCCAGUCCCUCCGUACCCACUUGGCUAAGCGCUGAUAUCUAGGGAUGACUGAAUGCAUCUGUAAAAACAACUGUGGGGACUCUUUAAAAAAGAAAUGGAUGAGAACAUUCUGGAAACAGUCAUUUUUAAAACACACCUUAGCACACCUUUUGUCCCCCUCCUCGCCAGCAGUAUUCGGAUUUCACUCUCUUACAAACACCACUGUUGCUCUCCUCUUCUUAAAGGACACCUGCCGGCAGCGUUUUAGGGUGCUUUCGGAGACCUCUUUGGUGAAAAGGAAUGGUGAUACAAACUUUGAGAAGCGUUCUUGUUGUGAAGGAGGCGCCAGAUCAAAUCCUGCGACCUGGGAUGUCAGGUCCACACUCAGGAAAUUAUUUCUUCUUCAAGAGAAUGCAGAGGGAAUAUGGGAAAAAGGGAGACCCUUUCUGAAAUGAGGGCAUCAGCUUCCUGGCAGAGCCCGGGACUACGAAUCCACUGACAUGGUUCUUGAGAAAACUUACAUUUGUUAGCAUCUCUGAAUCUUCCAGAACCACAGCAUGUUAAGUCUUACACUCCUCUCUCUCCCUGACCAACGCUCUUCGUAAAGACCGGGGGGCAAGCUAAUCGCAGUAAAAGGGGUUAAACAGAGUAAGAGGCUCUCAAAAGUGAGAGCCUCUGGCAAGGUCUGGGUGUGCAGUGGCAGACGAGGCAGGGUGUCUGCAGAAUCCUUUCCAAAUGUCCCCAGCUUCAGAGGUGAGCAGGCUUUGUCCUGUGCACAGUGCCGAUGUGACAACAGGUUCAGAGGGGACAGAAUGGUGGACUCGAAGAAUACCAAAACACACAGGACGGAAGGCCUGUGGGGAGAGCGAGGCCUCUGUCACCCACCAUGUGACAGAGCAGACAACGCCAUGCGGCUCUGCCUCAACUGAGGAGACAGCACCCAGGUCUCUUGGGUGAACCCCCGCCUUGCCAGGCUACCAGGAAUCAGAAAGGAAGACGCUGCACGCAUCGAAACUCAAACUCGAGUCCUUUUCUCAAUAACACUUAAUCGAGAAAGAAAAGAAAAGAAACCCACAGAAAAGUCAGGCAAACCCACUGAUGAACCGGCAGAUUUUACUUCUCUCCACUGCGGGAGCCCCGGCUUUUUAAAAGUGUCCUCAAUCCGGUGAUGCUAUCAGCUUUGACGUGUGGUUUGAAAAAGCGGAUAUUACACUUUAACUGCCCUCACGAUGGAAACAUUUAAGGCAAACCAUCGAGUUUAUUUUCCUCCUCGCCCAGCCGAGAUAAGCUGUGCCUGGAACCCCGGGGAGUUCUCGUAAACGGGCGCCUGGUGGCCUGAUGGGAAGCCGGGCUGAUGUGCAGAACCUCUGCCCUCCGCACACACCUGAGGUGCCGGGGCAGAUCCGCUGGAACAAGGGCAAUCAGAACAGGUCCAGUCAUCAGAUCAUUUCUGAUUGAAAAUUCUGAGAAGUGAGUUAUGCACGAUGCUCGGUUAGUCACUGUGUUUCUCAAAAGCGCUGCGCUGUGGAAAACCGGAGCCCGCCCGUCCUGGGGCCCGAAGGUCAACUUCAUGGGUUCGUGCACACGUGCGAGGGGCAGGUUCCACUCCUGCCAGGUUCGAACCUCCCAUCUUCUGUCUCCCCUUCCCACAGCCUGGCUCAGCCCCAAGAAACCCACGGGAGGCAGGUGUGGGAACCUCGCUGCACCCUGGACACUCUCGCCAGUGUGUCCCGCAGAAGAGAAAAGUUAGAUUACCUUGCGUUAAAAUUUAGAAUCGGGCUCAGUCGCAGCUGUGGCAAGAACAUUAGGGAGCGAGGAAGGUUGGCCUGCAAGAUCCAUGCAUUUCCAACAAGCAGAAAUGGUCACUUAAAAAGACACAAAGUCUAGGACCUUAUCAGCUACAUGCUUGAGCUUCAGUGCAAAGCACAAACUGAGUUUCGACGGUACAUUUGGGGGGUGGGGGGUGGGGUUCCUUAGCUCAGAUGGACUUGACAGCGUUGUGUGGAAGCACAGCACCAAAGUGAGGUGUGUGUUCAUGUUGUCUAAUUUCAUUUCAUUAGAAGAUAAAAGCUACCUGGGAAAUGAAAGGAAACAUUAAAAACUGCCGCAACAAAGCAAAUUGCUCCGUGGCAUUUGGGAAUCCUUGGUCCUCAAGUACAUCACGCACAGAAAAGACAGCUGCUCAGCCAGAGACAGGUGUGUCAAGGAAAAUAUGGUGCAGCAAGCUCGAAAGGCCUGUCCAGAAAAAUCUUCCGUUCUAAGUUGCUGGGAAACAGAAGAGCAGGGUUUGCGGUGAGCCUCCUCUCACCUGUGUGAACAGCAAGAGCAAAGGAUGAAGAUCUGAGCAGAGGAAGGCAGAUGAAAGAGACAGAGAGGAAAGGCAUUUUCUGGAGCCGGGGGGUGGGGGUGGAGGGGAGCUUGACGCGUUCAGAGCCGCGGUUAGAGAGGCCCUGCAGGAUGAGACUGGAGUCCGGAGAAUGGCCCGGGCCAGGAA
Molecule: long non-coding RNA, 5418 nt
Filed under: Sus scrofa (pig)
Lineage: Eukaryota; Metazoa; Chordata; Mammalia; Artiodactyla; Suidae
Description: lncRNA (ENSSSCG00025038377.1)
Source: RNAcentral